Molecule: non-coding RNA, 148 nt
Filed under: Bordetella petrii
Lineage: Bacteria; Pseudomonadati; Pseudomonadota; Betaproteobacteria; Burkholderiales; Alcaligenaceae
Description: FMN sequence
Rfam family: FMN riboswitch aptamer (RFN element)
About the family: The RFN element is a highly conserved domain that is found frequently in the 5'-untranslated regions of prokaryotic mRNAs that encode for flavin mononucleotide (FMN) biosynthesis and transport proteins. This element is a metabolite-dependent riboswitch that directly binds FMN in the absence of proteins. In Bacillus subtilis, the riboswitch most likely controls gene expression by causing premature transcription termination within the 5' untranslated region of the ribDEAHT operon and precluding access to the ribosome-binding site of ypaA mRNA.
Source: RNAcentral
GUACGUCUUCAGGGCGGGGCGAAAUUCCCCACCGGCGGUAAGCCGCAAUGCGGCAAGCCCGCGAGCGCCCGGCCAGCCUUGGCCGGGGUCAGCAGAUCUGGUGCGAUGCCAGGGCCGACGGUCAUAGUCCGGAUGAAAGAAGAUGUGC